Molecule: ribosomal RNA, 252 nt
Filed under: uncultured bacterium
Lineage: Bacteria
Description: partial 16S ribosomal RNA
Rfam family: Bacterial small subunit ribosomal RNA
Source: RNAcentral
UACGUAGGUCCCGAGCGUUGUCCGGAUUUAUUGGGCGUAAAGCGAGCGCAGGUGGUUUAUUAAGUCUGGUGUAAAAGGCAGUGGCUCAACCAUUGUAUGCAUUGGAAACUGGUAGACUUGAGUGCAGGAGAGGAGAGUGGAAUUCCAUGUGUAGCGGUGGAAUGCGUAGAUAUAUGGAGGAACACCGGUGGCGAAAGCGGCUCUCUGGCCUGUAACUGACACUGAGGCUCGAAAGCGUGGGGAGCAAACCGG